AUGGUCACUGGCCAGGCCAGCGUGGCGUCUUACGUGUACAGUUUCGGCCUCCUCCUCCUCGAGAUCGCCUGCGGACGAACGCCCGUCGUCCUCCUCCAGGAGAAGUCCGCGGUGCACAUCUCGCAGCAGGUCUGGGAGCUGUACAGCGAAGGAGCCGUCCUCGACGCUGCGGACAGGCGCCUAGAGGGGGAGUUCGACCAGCGGGAGAUGGAGGCGGUGUUGGUCGUCGGGCUCUGGUGCGUGCACCCUGACCGGACCGUCAGGCCGUCAGCCAGGCAAGCCGUCAACGCGCUGCGGUUCGAGGCGCCACUGCCGAGCCUCCCCGCGAGCAUGCCUGCCGCCAGAUACGGUUUCUCCGGUUCAGGUUCCGCGUCUCUGGUCGUGACAGCCAGCAGCGCCAGCACCAUGUACACAAAUGGCGGAUCCAGCAAUGCCAGCACCAUGUCUUUUUAG
This 453-nucleotide ribosomal RNA is filed under the name Triticum aestivum (bread wheat). RNAcentral describes it as "partial small subunit ribosomal RNA". Lineage: Eukaryota; Viridiplantae; Streptophyta; Magnoliopsida; Poales; Poaceae. The record is from RNAcentral.